GACGGGCCUUCCCACAUGGUGAAGUGGCCAACCGGGUCAGGUGGGGAACCAAGCAGCCCUAACUGUGGAUCCAGUGCUGGGGUCGAGGUCCGUCACC
RNAcentral lists this signal recognition particle RNA (97 nucleotides) under Betaproteobacteria bacterium. RNAcentral's name for it is "signal recognition particle sRNA small type". It matches the Rfam family "Bacterial small signal recognition particle RNA". Rfam says of the family: The signal recognition particle (SRP) is a universally conserved ribonucleoprotein involved in the co-translational targeting of proteins to membranes. Archaeal SRP consists of a 7S RNA and homologues of the eukaryotic SRP19 and SRP54 proteins. Lineage: Bacteria; Pseudomonadati; Pseudomonadota; Betaproteobacteria. The record is from RNAcentral.